Molecule: RNA transcript, 3414 nt
Organism: Perognathus longimembris pacificus (Pacific pocket mouse)
Lineage: Eukaryota; Metazoa; Chordata; Mammalia; Rodentia; Heteromyidae
Gene: Pgap1
Gene name: post-GPI attachment to proteins inositol deacylase 1
Exons: 28
Source: RefSeq, a predicted model, not a curated record
GGAGUGCAGCUUCGGCUCGCGGUGUGUCUGGGCUCCGGGGCCCCGCGCUUGUGGUAGCGGCGGCGGCGGUGUCGGCGGCGGCAGCACCGUCACCACCACCAUGUUUCUUCAUUCAGUCAACCUCGGAAACCUGGCCUUUUAUGUCUUUAUGGUCUUCCUGGCCACCCUGGGGCUGUGGGAUGUCUUCUUCGGCUUCGAGGAGAACAAGUGCAGUAUGAGCUACAUGUUUGAGUACCCGGAAUACCAGAAAAUAGAACUUCCAAAGAAACUGGCAAAACGCUAUCCAGCAUAUGAGUUGUAUCUUUAUGGAGAAGGGUCCUAUGCUGAAGAACACAAAAUUCUCCCUUUGACAGGAAUUCCAGUUCUUUUUCUUCCUGGUAAUGCUGGAAGUUACAAACAAGUUCGUUCUAUUGGUUCUAUUGCACUUAGGAAAGCAGAAGACAUUGACUUCAAGUACCACUUUGACUUCUUUAGUGUGAACUUCAAUGAAGAACUGGUGGCAUUGUAUGGUGGAAGUCUUCAGAAACAGACCAAGUUUGUGCAUGAAUGCAUUAAGACAAUUCUAAAACUUUACAAGGGUCAAGAAUUUGCUCCAAAAGGUGUGGCAAUAAUUGGACAUUCUAUGGGUGGCCUUGUUGCAAGAGCAUUGCUUACACUGAAAAAUUUUAAACAAGAUCUCAUAAAUCUACUCAUUACACAAGCUACACCUCAUGUUGCUCCUGUGAUGCCAUUAGAUCGUUUUAUUACAGAUUUUUAUCUGACUGUGAACAAUUAUUGGAUUCUAAAUGCUCAGCACAUAAACUUGACAACUCUUUCUGUAGCUGGAGGAUUCCGGGAUUACCAAGUUCGUUCGGGACUGACUUUCCUACCAAAAUUAAGCCAUCAUACCAGUGCCUUAUCUGUUGUGAGUUCAGCAGUGCCUAAAACUUGGGUCUCAACAGAUCAUCUCUCCAUUGUGUGGUGUAAACAACUGCAAUUAACUACAGUUCGAGCAUUCUUUGACCUUAUCGAUGCUGAUACUAAACAAUUAACUCAAAAUUCCAAGAAGAAAUUGUCUGUUUUGAAUCACCACUUUAUAAGACACCCAGCAAAAAAUUUUGAGGAAAAUCCAGCAAUAAUUUCUGACUUGACAGGGACAUCUAUGUGGAUUCCAGUAAAAGUGUCCAGAUGGACCUACGUGGCUUACAAUGAAUCUGAUAAGAUAUACUUUACAUUUCCUCUUGCAAAUCAUAGAAAAAUCUACACUCAUGUCUACUGUCAGAGCACCAUGCUGGAUACAAAUAGUUGGAUUUUUGGCUGCAUAAACAGCACUUCCAUGUGCCAACAAGGGGUUGAUUUAUCAUGGAAAGCAGAACUGUUGCCAACAAUUAAGUUUCUGAUGUUAAGACUUCAAGAUUAUCCAUCUCUGUCUCAUCUUGUUGUUUAUGUGCCUUCUAUUCAUGGAAGUAAGUUUGUUGUAGAUUGUGAAUUCUUUAAAAAAGAAACAAGAUCCAUACAGCUUCCUGUAACUCAUCUUUUUUCCUUUGGAUUGUCUUCACGAAAAGUAAUAUUAAAUACAAAUGGCCUGUACUACAAUAUAGAGCUUCUGAACUUUGGACAGAUAUACCAAGCUUUUAAAAUCAAUGUGCUAAGCAGGUGCUCCGGAGUCAAAGAGGAAAUUACUAGUAUCUACAAACUUCAUAUUCCCUGGUCUUAUGAAGAUUCACUCACCAUUGCACAGGUUCCAUCCACCACGGAAAUUUCUGUGAAGCUUCAUAUUGCUCAACCAGAAAAUGACAGCCAUGUGGCAUUAUUAAAAAUGUAUACAUCAUCAGACUGUCAGUAUGAGGUGACAAUUAAGACUUCCUUUCCACAAAUACUUGGACAGGUAAUUAGAUUUCAUGGUGGAGCUCUUCCUGCUUAUGUUAUAUCUAGUAUUCUUCUUGCUUAUGGAGGACAGUUAUACUCUCUCUUCUCAACAGGUUAUUGCUUAGAAUAUGCUACCAUAUUGGACAAAGAAGCCAAACCAUAUAAAGUUGAUCCUUUUGUAAUUAUGAUUAAAUUUUUGUUGGGGUAUAAAUGGUUUAAGGAAUUAUGGGACACAUUAUUAUUACCAGAACUGGAUGCUAUUGUUUUAACUAGUCAGAGUAUGUGCUUUCCCCUUGUGUCUUUGAUUCUCUUUCUAUUUGGAACAUGUACUGCCUACUGGAGUGGGCUGUUCUCUUCUGCAUCUGUGAGACUCCUUUCUUCAUUAUGGCUAGCUUUGAAAAGACCCUCUGAACUUCCUAAAGAUAUCAAGGUGAUAUCACCAGACUUGCCCUUUGUGACAGUUGCUUUGAUUAUAGUUAGUUGGACAACAUGUGGAGCACUUGCCUUACUUCUUUCUUAUGUUUACUAUGUGUUUAAGGUUGUCCAUCUGCAAGCCAGCCUAACGACUUUACGAAAUAACCAGCCUGUGAAUCCCAAACACUCUAGAAGAAGUGAAAAAAAAUCCAGUCACCAAAAAGACUCUUCAGUACACCAUCGUUUAUCUACUAAUGAUGCUGAAGAUAGUCUUCGCAUGCACAGUACGGUGAUUAACUUGUUAACAUGGAUCGUGCUGUUGAGCCUGCCAUCUUUAAUUUAUUGGCUAAAGAACCUUAGGUAUUAUUUUAAACUUAGCCCUGAUCCAUGUAAACCUUUGGCAUUUGUCCUUAUUCCAACUACAGUGAUUCUUGGGAAUACUUACACAGUUUCAAUAAAGUCAAGUAAAUUGUUGAAGACUGCCUCCCAGUUCCCACUUCCUCUGGCUGUUGGGGUGAUUGCUUUUGGCUCAGCACACUUAUACAGGGUUCCAUGCUUUAUCUUCAUUCCUCUGUUACUGCAUGCACUAUGCAACUUUAUGUAAGGUUGAACUUAAGGAAUGACAAAGAUGAUUUAUGCCUUUAGGCCAGUGAAUCACAGAUCCACCAACAUGGACAGCAAGGUCCUUUGGAGAAGACGAGUCUAUUUUUACAAGUACUGAAAAUAGGAAAUUAGUUUUGUAAUGCUGCAGGAAAGUAGCUGAAGCAUGGGUUUGUUUUGUGCUAUACUAGUCAAUUUUGGAAAAAAAAAAAGGUAAAGGAAUAUGGUAGCCACUGUCUCUGAGGACUUGUGUGCAUAUCGAAUAGUCUACUUCAUCCACCAUGCCACUGAUUUCCUGGAGAGUUGGUGCACAGCAAUUUUGUUUGAUCUGAUUUUCUCCUGAAAAAUUGAUUGUUUCAUAUUUCCUAUUUCCCUGAAAAAAAAAGUCUUAAAAAUAUUGAUGGAAUUCAAAACUGUUUGGUUUCUCAAAAGUGAAAUAGCCAUGAGGAGCCUUUGGUCAGGUUUUGGCAGCCACGGUGAACAAAGUAGAUCUUCUUAUUCUAUGGAAAGAGACUUGAAUUAUAAGGAGGAAUCUUAUUAUUAAAAUAAGAU